GAGGGAGGGGGUCUUGCCUCAUUUCUGUCAGGUGGGGGUGAAAGUCCAGGUGCCAUUGGCCCUUGAGGAGGCGGGGCUCCUUGUUAGUGCCAGGUGGGUGGGAGUGGGAAUCCGUGCUCCCACUAGGCCUCUAUUGGUAGCACCCAGGCUGGGAGAGAGGCAUCUUGCUAGUGUUCCUCAAGUAAUCUUCACUGCCAACAAGGAGGGGAGGGAGCGGACGGCAAUUGAGACAUCUGACUUCCCCUUGACUUCCUCUAACACUGGCAGAUGUUCAGACGUGUCCAGAGUUUCUUCCUUCUGAUGGGUUCGUCAUCUCGCUGACUUCAGGAGUAAAGCCGCAGACCUUCGCAGUGAACAUUACAGCUCUUAAAAGUGGCGUGUCCAGAGUUAUUUGUUCCUCCUGGUGGGUUCGUGGUCUCGCUGACUUCAGGAGUGAAGCCACAGACCUCCGCGGGGGCCUCAUGAAGCCUGCUCUGCCCCCUUGUGUGAGUCCUUGGCAGCUGGCCAGCCGCCUGCAUAGGAGGAAGCUCAGCUCGCCCGGCCAUUUUAAAGAAGUCAGCAACACAGGGGGGAUCAGUCCCCUGGCAUGCCAAGACCCUGGGUAAAUUGCUGAACAUCGCUGGACUUAAGUGUUUU
RNAcentral lists this long non-coding RNA (636 nucleotides) under Homo sapiens (human). RNAcentral's name for it is "HSALNT0121243". The record is from RNAcentral. Lineage: Eukaryota; Metazoa; Chordata; Mammalia; Primates; Hominidae.